This 516-nucleotide ribosomal RNA is filed under the name uncultured bacterium. RNAcentral's name for it is "bacterial SSU rRNA". It matches the Rfam family "Bacterial small subunit ribosomal RNA", at positions 10 to 523 of the family's 1533-position model. The record is from RNAcentral.
AGUUUGAUCCUGGCUCAGAUUGAACGCUGGCGGCAUGCCUUACACAUGCAAGUCGAACGGUAACAGGUCUUCGGAUGCUGACGAGUGGCGAACGGGUGAGUAAUACAUCGGAACGUGCCCGAUCGUGGGGGAUAACGGAGCGAAAGCUUUGCUAAUACCGCAUACGAUCUACGGAUGAAAGCAGGGGACCGCAAGGCCUUGCGCGGACGGAGCGGCCGAUGGCAGAUUAGGUAGUUGGUGGGAUAAAAGCUUACCAAGCCGACGAUCUGUAGCUGGUCUGAGAGGGCGACCAGCCACACUGGGACUGAGACACGGCCCAGACUCCUACGGGAGGCAGCAGUGGGGAAUUUUGGACAAUGGGCGAAAGCCUGAUCCAGCCAUGCCGCGUGCAGGAUGAAGGCCUUCGGGUUGUAAACUGCUUUUGUACGGAACGAGAAGCCUCUUUCUAAUAAAGAGAGGUCAUGACGGUACCGUAAGAAUAAGCACCGGCUAACUACGUGCCAGCAGCCGCGGUAA